AUGCUCGCCCAAGGAAUCAUUCAGCCCAGCGUGAGCCCGUUCGCCUCACCUGUGUUGUUGGUGCAGAAGAAGGAUUUGACCUGGAGGUUUUGCGUAGAUUAUCGCCACCUCAACGCGAUCACGAUCAAGAACCGCCACCCCCUCCCCAUCAUUGACGAGCUGCUGGACGAGUUGGCGGGCUCGUGUUUCUUUACCAGUUUGGACCUGAGGGCAGGAUAUCACCAGAUUCGCAUGAGACAGGGGGAUGAAUACAAGACAGCCUUCAAGACGCACCAUGGACAUUUCGAGUUUAAGGUCAUGCCGUAUGGAGUCACUGGGGGCCCCAGCACGUUUCAAGGGGCUCAGAUUUGA
RNAcentral lists this ribosomal RNA (351 nucleotides) under Triticum aestivum (bread wheat). RNAcentral's name for it is "partial small subunit ribosomal RNA". Lineage: Eukaryota; Viridiplantae; Streptophyta; Magnoliopsida; Poales; Poaceae. The record is from RNAcentral.